AUUGAACGCUGGCGGCAGGCUUAACACAUGCAAGUCGAGCGAGCGGCGGACGGGUGAGUAAUGUAUGGGAAACUGCCUGAUGGAGGGGGAUAACUACUGGAAACGGUGGCUAAUACCGCAUACCAUCAGAUGUGCCCAGAUGGGAUUAGCUAGUAGGUGGGGUAAAGGCUCACCUAGGCGACGAUCCCUAGCUGGUCUGAGAGGAUGACCAGCCACACUGGAACUGAGACACGGCCCAGACUCCUACGGGAGGCAGCAGUGGGGAAUAUUGCACAAUGGGCGCAAGCCUGAUGCAGCCAUGCCGCGUGUGUGAAGAAGGCCUUAGGGUUGUAAAGUACUUUCAGCGAGGAGGCGUUACCCGCAGAAGAAGCACCGGCUAACUCCGUGCCAGCAGCCGCGGUAAUAC
RNAcentral lists this ribosomal RNA (406 nucleotides) under uncultured bacterium. RNAcentral's name for it is "partial 16S ribosomal RNA". It matches the Rfam family "Bacterial small subunit ribosomal RNA", at positions 30 to 526 of the family's 1533-position model. The record is from RNAcentral.